Molecule: long non-coding RNA, 1482 nt
Organism: Larimichthys crocea (large yellow croaker)
Lineage: Eukaryota; Metazoa; Chordata; Actinopteri; Sciaenidae
Exons: 3
Source: RefSeq, a predicted model, not a curated record
GGAGAGAGUGAGCGUAAAAGAGUAAAUGUGGGACUGACUUUUAGUGGUUGGUGAGAGCUCGAUGAAAUAAAAAGGCUGAAAGACAGACGCCGAGCUGGGCUGACUGCUGUGACUGAACAGGAGUGGAGAGAGUUUGGUCACAACAUUCAUCAGGAGAGAAAUAAUAGUCUGAAAGGAAAGGAUGCACCUGUUUCCUGUAUAAGUCAGACUUCAUAUCCUGUCCAUCUGCUUUCUGCAGCCAAUGCUAAAGCUCUUGGGUCACCAGUUAAAUGUGUGCUGGAUGGUGACUUUACCCCGUGGCACUGAUGUGGAAUCAGCUCAAAACAGCUGCAGUGAGGAAAGAGCACAGCGUCGUGUCACUUAGACAAUAGUCACUGUGUUACAGGGACCGACAUAACUCAUGGCCCGGUGGCCUGGGGCCAGUAAAAGUACAUGCAGGGCAAGUUGAUUGGCGGUUGACGAAACUGAUCAACGCUGCCUAUCACACAAUCAAAUCCAAUCAGAGCAGCCCUGCAAGAAGAACGGUGUCAACGUCGGGUCGCAAUAUUGUUAAAGUUCAAAACUAAAAGUGCUCAUACUGUUUGGAUUCAAAACAAUCAUACCUGCUUAUAAUUUGGGCUGUGGCUUCAACCUUCGUCAGAGCUGUCAAAGCGUCUUGGUGUGAUGUGUCCCACAUACCUUAGACACCAGCGGAGGACGGGUGCGGCUGGGUGGGGAACUUAUUUAAAUUUUUCUUGGCACUGUCAGCUGUUUUAAGACACGUCACACCAAGACGCUUUGACAGCUCUGACGAGGGCUGAAGCUACAGCAGGUAUGAUUACAUACUAUCCUUAUUUACUUGUCUGAUCACAAGAAGCUAAAACUAUAAUACCUUGUGAGUACGUUGUCCUAACUACUACUUUUUUAUUUCUCAGGUUUGAAAAUGUCAUCUAUGAUGAGCUGUGGGAGGGCUGUGCAGCUGAGAUUAGAGCAGCACAUUUCAUAAGUGUGUUGGCAGACACUGCUACAGAUGUCAGUGGCAGAGAUCUUCAGGGGGUCUACAUCCGAAUGGGCAUCCGAAUAAGACACUAUAUAUAUUGUUUAUAUUGCUGUGUUAUCACUCUUUGAGUGUAUUGCUAAAAAACAAGUGUUCCUCUGUCUACAGCACUUCAGAAGGCAGAGCUUUCUAACUGGGUUUUGGCUCUGAUGGGGCUGCUGUGAUGGUGGGGAGGGUUGGAGGUGUCACCACACUCCUACUGUAAGAGCCGAUGUUCCCCAUCUCAUUAACAUCCAGUGCCUGGGACAUGUCCUGGAGUUGGCAGCAAUGGAUGCCAUGAAAGGCAAUGAUAGACUGAAAAAGAUCUGCAAGUGCUGAAAUGGUUGGAAGAGCAAAGCAGUGCCUGCAGCUAUUAAGGGACUUUCAACAUCUGCUCUUCUUUGUUCUGGUGCAAGACAUCCUCGAAGUCUUGAGUUGCAGUGAGAGAAGAAGAAGGUCACCGGAGC